Molecule: ribosomal RNA, 1102 nt
Filed under: Odontella aurita
Lineage: Eukaryota; Bacillariophyta; Thalassiosirophyceae; Eupodiscales; Odontellaceae
Description: partial Bacterial small subunit ribosomal RNA
Rfam family: Bacterial small subunit ribosomal RNA
Source: RNAcentral
AGAUUUAGUCCCGGCUAAUCUCGUGCCAGCAGCCGCGGUAAUACGGGAGGGGCAAGCGUUAUCCAAAAUGACUGGGCGUAAAGAGUCCGUAGACGGUAUAAUAAGUUAUUUGUUAAAGACUAAAAUUAACUUUAGAAAAGCAUUUAAAACUGUUUUACUUCAGGAGUUUUAUACAGAAGAGUUGAAUUUCAUGUUGAGGAAUAAGCUCUAAAGAAAUAUGAAGGAAUACCAUUAUUAGCGAAAGCGACUCUUUAGUAAAGACUGACGUUGAGGGACGAAAGUAUAGGGAGCAAACAGGAUUAGAUACCCUGGUAGUCUAUACCUUAAAUUCUGAGUGCUGUAAUUCUAAAAUUUCGAUUUUUGGAUUUUUUAAGUUAACACCAUAAGCAUUCCGCCUGAGGAGUACGAUCGCAAGGUUGGAACUCAAAGGAAUUGACGGGGACCUACAACAAGUGGUGGAGCAUGUGGUUUAAUGCGAUAAUCCGCGCAAAACCUUACCAAUCCUUGAUAUAAAGAAAAAAAUUCAAAUUAGUAUUUUUGUAAUAUUAUAUUAAAUUGUAUUAGAUCAAAUUUAAAAUUUCUUUACAGGUGCUGCACGACUGUCGUCAGCUCGUGUCGUAAGAUGUGUGGUUAAUUCCUGUAACGAGCGAAACUCUUAUUUUUAGUGAACAAAAUUAAUACUGUAAGAAUUUGAAACAAAAUUUUAAAAACACAGUCAAUGAUAAGUUGAAGGAAGGUAAGAAUCAAGUCAAGUCCCUGUGGCCCUUAUGGAUUGGGCUACACACGUGCUACAAUGAAAAUUACAAUAAGUUUACUUAACAUCCAAUUGAUCAAAGUAAGUCUUUAACAAUUUUUUUAGUUCAGAUUGUAAGCUGCAACUCGCUUACAUGAAGAUGGAAUCACUAGUAAUCGCGAAUCAGAAUGUCGCGGUGAAUAUGUGCCUUGGUCUUGUACACACCGCCCGUCACAUGCAGAAAAUUAGCUUUGCUUGAAGAUUAAAUUUUUAGUAUUAGAAAUUUCUCACACUAUGAUCUGUUCAAAAUUCUAAAAAUUUUUUCUAUUGAAGAGUCAAUAAUUUGGAUGAAGUCGUAACAAGGUAGCU